GGAUGGAUCAUUAACACUGUUUCAACAACAACAGCCAAUCUUAAUGUCAUCUGGCCAGUUCUUAUGAACACGUAUCCCAAGGACCUCGAUCGAGUGGAUAAGAAACCCCUAAAAUUGCGGGGCGAGUACUCUUGCACGGGCGUCUGACUCGCGGAGCGGUGGAUCAAAUGAUUACCCUGGCUUGUAUCUUGUGCCACGGAGGAUAGGGACCGCGAAGCGGGAGUCACGGACGUUACGGAGGUGGAAAGUUGGUUUCGCCACAAUGAGGUGCAGCUCGGACCUGGGUUAAAAAUGGGGUAGGGGUGCCAACCGUCCCUUUUUAGAUAGCUCGAUAAUUGCUCUGUUCUCUGGGGAUGUAGCUCAGCUGGUAGAGCGCGUCGUUAGCAACGACGAGGCCUGGAGUUCAAUCCUCCACUUCUCCAACCCUCAUAGAGCUGACGGAAAAUGGCAUACCUUAUUUCGCCAGGUUCGACGAGUCUAGUGGGCGCGACUCUCAAAAAACCGCCACCGUACAGAAGCCUCUGUAAAUCGAUUGUUGCAAAACGAAAGAUUAUAGCACAGGUGGAUGACGUAGUUUUUAUCGGCCGCUUUUUUGUAGUACCCCUAUCUUCUGGAUAGGGUUUUGUAUACUUAUGUAACCAGUUGACUGAAUAAAAGCGUUGGGCCUUGAAAAAGGUUUUUUACAACGUACUUUUCGCGUAAAUACUAUACAACUGUUAGCAACGGAUAUCUUGGUUCUCGCAACGAUGAAGAACGCAGCGAAAUGCGAUACGUAGUGCGAAUUGCAGAAUUCAGUGAAUCAUCAAAUCUUUGAACGCAAAUUGCGCUCUUGGGAUAGCCCUGGGAGCACGCUUCUUUGAGUAUCGGUUCAUCCCCCCCUCGGCGGCGUGGCCAAGCAAUUGGUCUUGCGUGCAGCCGGUAUCUGGGCGUCACUGCCGGUGGGCCGUGUCGCCUCAAGUUCAGAGCGGUUUCUGCGAAACCAAAUCAACAGCUCAAAUCGGCCCGCUCUUGCUGGGACGUAACAAUGGGUAACACACCAAUUUAUUGUUCGUCAUUUUCAACUGGCAAGGGCAAGUCGGAGCUACAACUGGUUUGGUCGCGGUCGGACGCGAAAAUUUUGGAAUACUUUUCUUUUUUCCUUUCUCUCUCCGGAGCGAAAAAGAAGAGGAAAUCUCGGAAAUAGAUCUCAGAUGAAGCGAGAAAACCCGCCGGACUUAAGCAUAUUAUUAAGCGGAGGAAAAGAAACUAACAAGGAUUCCCCUAGUAACGGCGAGUGAAGCGGGAAGAGCUCAACUUGAAAAUCGGUGCUCCACGCGGGGUAUCGAGUUGUAGUCUAGAGACGUGUCAUCAGCGUGUGACCCAGGUAUAAAUCUUUUGGAACAAGGUAUCAUAGAGGGUGAGAAUCCCGUCUUUGACCUGGAGUUCGCCGCGUACGAUACACGUUCAACGAGUCGAAUUGGUCGGGAUUCCAGUUCUAAAUGGGUGGUAAAUUUCAUCUAAAGCUAAAUACAGGCGAGAGACCGAUAGCGAACAAGUACCGUGAGGGAAAGAUGAAAAGAACUUUGAAAAGAGAGUUAAAAAGAACUUGAAAUUGCUAACAGCGAAGCGCUGGAAACCAGUCGUACUCGGCGUCUAUAUUUAUUAUUCGCACGUUUCGGGCCGCUCUUGAGAGUGCUUACGCCUCCUCAGGGGUGGUUUCGGGGCGGCGCGGGUGAGUUCUGUAGCGCCGGGUGAGUCAAGAUCGGUUGUGCUCGCCGGAGAAGGCCGUGGGGAAGGUAGGCAGGAGGCAGCAAUGCUGACUGCUGUUAUAGACACGCGGACAUACGGUGGGUGCGACCGAGGAAUCUUUCAAUGCGCGCCUUUGGCUUCGGCCGAGGGCUGGGCGUCCCGUCCCUACCGUGCCAUCCUCUUUGGACAGCAAAGCUGUGCGCGGGGAGAAGCGCGGCACUGGGCGGGGUCCGUCACAUGCGUGUUCGGGAUCUUGACGAAAUGGUUUUCAUUGACCCGUCUUGAAACACGGACCAAGGAGUCUAACAUAUAUGCGAGUAUUUGGGUGGUAAACCCUGAUGCGUAAUGAAAGUAAAGGCAGCCUCGUGCUGCUGAGGUAGGAAUCCUGGCCCGCCGGGCUGGGAGGCACUAUCGACCGAUCUGGCACUUGUGAAAGAUUUGAGUAAGAGCAUAUCUGUUGGGACCCGAAAGAUGGUGAUCUAUGCCUGAACAGGGCGAAGCCAGGGGAAACUCUGGUGGAGGCUCGUAGCGAUACUAACGUGCAAAUUGUUCGUCUGAUUUGGGUAUAGGGGCGAAAGACUAAUCGAACCAUCUAGUAGCUGGUUCCCUC
This 2338-nucleotide transfer RNA is filed under the name uncultured fungus. RNAcentral describes it as "sequence contains 18S rRNA gene, ITS1, 5.8S rRNA gene, ITS2, 28S rRNA gene". The stretch from base 1182 to 2338 matches the Rfam family "Eukaryotic large subunit ribosomal RNA", at positions 1 to 961 of the family's 3401-position model. The record is from RNAcentral. Lineage: Eukaryota; Fungi.